Molecule: long non-coding RNA, 13745 nt
Filed under: Lathyrus oleraceus (garden pea)
Lineage: Eukaryota; Viridiplantae; Streptophyta; Magnoliopsida; Fabales; Fabaceae
Description: Pisum sativum (pea) long non-coding RNA (PSAT_LNC035237)
Source: RNAcentral
GAUAAAGUUAACAUAUUAAUAUACCUAAGAGACAUUUAGUAAUAAUAUUGGUUAUAUGAAUGAUUUAUGACAAUUGCGUGCUAAAAACAAAAAAUCUAAUGAGAAUUAACGUUGUCAUAUUUUACUUAUAAAAUGAUCAAAUAAUAGCUUGUUUGCUACAUGCAAAUUAAAGAGACAAAAUAUGGCCAAAAUACUAAAACUUGUUUAUGCUUUAAUUAUAUGGAUUUCUCUAAUUCUUGUUGUAACCAGCCAUAGUAAAUCCUUUUUUUUCACUUACAAUUCAAUCUUUUUUCUUAUUCAUAUAAAAAUCUUUCAACCCUUUUAAUAACAUUCAUUUAUUUUUACUUGACGUGCAGGUUUUCUCCCCUGCGGGUCUAAUAGGGAUUGUAAAGAUGAUUUAUGUUUCCCUCCUAGAAAGCCUGGAUGUCAUUUGGAUGCAUGUCGUUGCUUAUAAUCGUAACAACUAUGUUAAAAAUAAAUCUAUGUUACUUCUACAAUUAUGAAAUUUCUUGCCCUUUUAGUUUCUCUUCAUAAGGUUAAAAGCAUGUUAUUUUAUGAAAGAAGUGUUACCUUUGUGUACUCGUAUAGUGGAUAUCAUGAAUACCAACUUUAUUGAAUAAUUUUAACUAAUUAAGUUAAUGAAUAAUUUUAUAUGAGAAACAUUUAAGUUCAUUUUUCAUAUAAAAAUAACACGAUUUUUUACAUAUUCAAUAAAGACUGAAGAACCAUAUUAAAAUAUUUAAAAGCCUUGAUCAUAAAAAGUGAAUUACAUUCCAACCAAAGAUUAUACCACCUAUGUUAGUAGGCAAUUUUCAAUGCAUAUGUUGUUGCCAUUAGUUCAUCCUGAAAGGACUGAGAGACUAAGGUUGAUAGGCAAGCAACCCACAAAGUAAGUAAGACAAGGAACCCACCAAGGUUGUAGGUGUCGGUGAACACUUGUAUUGAGAAAAACAUUUGUUUUCAUUUUCUAGUUUAUUAUGAAAAUACAAAAGGUUAUGUUGUAGCUAGAAACUAAGUUAUAGUCAGUUUUUUUGUCUUUGAAAAAUCUAAGAUAUAAGUGAUUUGAAUUAGGAGAUAUUUUAGUAAAUAUGUAGCCAGUUUGAUUAUAGUAAAAAUAUCUCAAGUGUGAAGGGUGUUUUUGUUAAAAACAUUAAAAGGUUGACUUCUUUGUUUUAGAUCAAGGAGAGCCUAAAAUGAAUAGUUGGAGUAUCUAUUAUGUUUGUUCAGUUUGCCCUCUAUCCUCCGAAUAUCCUCCUAUCUAUAGAUCUCCUUCUCCCCUUGCCUGACUCUCUAGAUCCUUCAUCAAUUCUUCUAUUAAUAACGUUUGUCGCCCCUUAUAAUUGUCCUUUAGUGACCGACUCUUCAAUAAUUAUAACUUCUUUCCAUAAUGUAUCAUAUUGUAACAAACAUCUUAUGACUCUUCAUAUGGUAUCAUAGCUUUGUCAAUAGAUCCGAUUUGUACUAGUUGAACCAUCCUCGGCUUAUGGGAAGUCGGUUCCGCCCCGCUUAUUCAAAUAGCAUAAUGAGAUUUUGAUUAGUAGAUGAUGUCCCGACUAUCCGAUAUGUUAACCAUACCAUACUUGACUAUCAUGUCAACUCGGCCUCAAAGAACUCACACGCUCAAGAUAGGCUUCACCGAUCUCACACCUCGAUUGGUCAACUAAUUUUUUGGGAUGUACAUAAGCCCUCCGAGCACUAGGUAUGAAAAAUCGAAGUGUCCGGACAAGAAAAGCCUAGAAAAUCUUCCUUGGUCUCUCUAUGACGGAAUACUCGGAUUUUCACCGUCAUUUUUAAUGAUGACAAGUUUUCUCUCUCUCCUCAUCAUGAUGCCUUUUAUGGGAACUCCCACUUCAUCAUUUUGUCUUCUGUUACAACUUCCUGACUGUUACAAAUAUAUUACUUUUAAAGGUUUGGUUUUUAUUCAAAUAUCCCUUCCAAGCAUUUCUUUCAAUAGUCUCUCCCACUGAGUAUCUAUCAAUUGGACUCCCAACCUUCAAACUUCAGGUGCCAUUACUCAUUUGUUUCUUUUUCUUUAUAAUUGUUAUGUCUUCAUAUUCAAUCAUUCUUACCGCUAGUGAUAGGAAUAGAAUUUGGAAUGCCUAUAUGUGAGAAUGUGAGGGUUAUUUGAAAAGAGAAGAUUUUGACCAAAUUAUUAGAGAAGUUUACAGUGAGAUCCCUUCACCCACUAGUAACGUUGAUUUGGAGUCUUCCUCCUCAGGUUUUCUGAAUAUUCAGAUGGAUGUCACAGGAUCUUUGAUAGACAAAGAGGUUUUGAGCUAUAACCACAAUAUUGUUGAUGAAAGCUAUAUUUCAAAGUUUCGUUCCAAUACUUCAGUCUCUUCCACCUGGAAUGAAGAGGACGUAAUUUUGGAACCCUACGAAAUUGGCAAAAAGGUGUGCACCAUUCGUCCUAAAGAAGUAUUGGACGGAUAUUUUUAUUUUUAUUUAAGAGUCAUUGAAUAUUUCAAAAUUCGCUUUCUCUUUAAUCACUUCGAAUCUGACCUUCUCAUAAUUUUAAACAUAGCUUCAUCCCAAUUACGCCCUAACAACUGGGGUUUUAUUAAAGCUUUUUAGAUUGUUUGUGAUACGAUAAACAUAGUAUCGACUUAGGGUUAUCUUCCCGUUCUUUGAGUUAAAGGGUACCGAUAAAAUAGGUUGGGUUUCCCUUAGCAUAAUUCCGGAAAAGAGUUUUCUACAGGCUUAUACUACUCACUAUAAGGGUUUUAAAGACAAUUUCCUUCGAGUUAAAAGUGGGACGAGAUGUCCCCAUGUUAUAUAUGAUUUAGACGGGAAUCGUCGUUUUCUGAUCUACUAGUCGGACAACCAUUUACAUGUUUCUAGUUUUGACUACGAUAAAUUAAAUGAUUUGAAAGUUCGAUCUUUAGCUAUCUUGGAUGCUUUCCGGGUAGUGAAAGUUAAAGAUCUUUUACAGGUGAUUGAUGAACCCAAAAAAAAUUCUAAUUUUUUGGGUAAUCGUCCAUAUGUUAUUUAUUAUUCUAACAUAAUAUCAUUAAUCAUCCUUUUCACUGAUCCUAACUUUUAUUUCAGUCUAAAUGACAAACCUCAAACUCUAUGAACUGGGGAAACUGAAGGCUGAGGCAAGAGCAAGGCGUAUGGAUCAAUCUUUUUCCAAGAGUGACCUUACGGGAGUUCAUACUCUAGCCCUCAAAAUAAAUAAGUCGGACAUUGCUAAAAUGGCUUCCAUCAUGCCGGACCUCCAGUCAAUACCUAUCCCUGCUUCUAAGGAACCAAAACCCACCCCUCCCAAGAAAAUAAAAACCUUGAUGAGUGACGAUGUCAGUCUAGAAGACUUGACGAUUACCACUCUUAUGCAAGAUUCAGAUAGUAGUCAUCAAGCCAGACCCUCUUCUGAAUUUAAAUUUUGUUCCAACAACUUUGACUGGUUGAGGUUCCUCUAUGAUCACGUAAGCACAUCCGAGGAUGUUAAAAAGGUAAAUUUUAUUAGUGCUCAACAAUUGACCCAAAACCUUAGGGCAUACUUGAUGAGGUGCACCAUUAUGAGUAUGGGUUUAUUUGAAGUGGGUGAUGCACAAGAGCAUAACGAGAUAUGUCUUAACAAAAAGAUGACUCAGUCAAGGGAUGACUUGAAAACACAGACCUAUCAAGUAGAGGAUUUGACCAAACAACUCUUUAAGAUGAAGAAGUAGAAGGAUUUGUCAACACCUCGAUUAAUGGAAAUGACUACAAAGAAUUAAACCAUGGUAACUAGGUGCUCAGAACUGGAAGCAGUUAACGUUAGCUUAACUCAAGAAGCAGAGCAAUCUCGUAAUCUCAACGAGGCUUUGAAGAAAUCCCUUCAAGAUGCAUAGGUGGACUUGCUUUUUAUCGGCGAAAAAGCUUUUAAGAGGGCCAAAGCCCAAGCUCUAUGCAUCACACCAGACGUACACGUGUCAAAGAUGGAUUUCUUUAAGAUUGUGGUGGAUGGGAAAGUAGUCGAUAUGGAUGAUGCUUCUCCCGAAGCAGAAGGCUCGAGAGGCUUGAUGGAUGACAACCCGACAUCAGAAGCUCAGAUAAAUGAAUAUGAAAUUUGAGUUUAUUUUUAAGCCUUUUGUUGGCCAUCAAUGGUGAUUUGCACCUUGUAUCUUCUCUGAAUAAUAUUUUGCUUUCUUGCUGAACAUUAAGCCUUUUAAAGGCUUUGCAAUGACGUCUAUUUUAUUGCUUUGAUGUGUAUUAUCUUUGACUUCACUUAUUAUUACUUGAAUUAUGAAUUUGGGGCUGACCUUGUAGGCCGAUGCAAUCAUCUUAUCCCUGAACACAGAGUCUGGGAAGUUAAGAUAAGUUGGAUGCUUUGUUGGUGGUAAAUUGAUUGCAUCAUUACACUUACUAAGCAUGACCCAGUUGCAGUUGAUGUUUUGGAAGCCCCUGGUUAUUUGGAUUUCUCUUAGGCCAUAGGUUUUGUUCUUAUAUAUCCCGACCAAAGUUGAUUAUGCCAGAGGCUUCAAGUGCGUUGGGACUUUAGUUAGGUCAAAGGUUUCAUUAAAUGUUACCCGACCGAAGUCGAUAAUGCCAGAGGCUUCAAGUGCGCUUGGACUUUAGUUAGACCAGAGAUUUCAUUAAAUGUUACCUGGCCGAAGCCGAUUAUAUCAGAGGCUUCAAGUGCGCUUGAACUUUAGUUAGGCUAGAGGAUUCAUUAAACGUUACCCGACCGAAGUUGAUUAUGCUAGAGGCUUUAAGCGCGCUUGGACAUUAGUUAGGCCAGAGAUUUCAUUAAAUGUUACCUGGCCGAAGCCGAUUAUGCCAGAGGCUUCAAGUGCGCCUGGACUUUAGUUAGGCCAGAGGUUUCAUUAAACGUUACCCUGCCAAAGCUAAUUAUUCCAGAGGCUUCAAGUGCACUUUGACUUUUUCCUGGAUCACAACCUAGGAUUUUAUUUAAAAAUAUAUUUGUCUCAACUAUGGGUGCCUCAUUAAAAAUCUUUGCUCUUUGUAAGGGAAAAUAGUGCAUCCCAUAAUUUUUAUUCACUAUAUUUAUUACAUAGUUUAACUGAGAUAAAAUUUGGGACUAAUUACAUUCCAAGUUUUGUGUAUUUAAACUCCCUCUAAGCUCUCUAACUUGUAAGCCCAUUUGCUCAACCUCUGACGAACACGGUAGAUUCCCUCCCAAUUCAGAGCCAACUUUCCUUUCUUCGCGGGAUCAAUUAAUUUUUUACCACUAAGUCACCCUUGUGAAAUCCUCUCUGUCUCACUUUGAUAUUGAACCUCCGAGCAAUUUUUGUUUAGCUGCAAAUUCCUUGAUGUGAGUCGUUUCCCUUAUUUCAUCCAACAAAUCCACCGAAACAUCCAAGCCUUCCGAGUUUAUGCUUUCAUUGAAAUCCAAACACCUUCACGUUGGUGUGUUAAUUUCAACUGGUAUCAUCAUAUCUGCACCGUAAACCAUCAUGAAUGGAGUCUCCCGGGUAGUUGAAUGCGGCGUGGUGUGGUAAGACCAUAAAAUUUAGUGUAGGUACUUCUCCCACAAUCCUUUCGCUUCAUCAAGAUUUUUUUUUAUUUUUGACAAAAUGAUUUUAUUUACUGCUUCCGCCUAACUGUUGGCUUGAGGUUUCUCUACCGAGAUGAAUCGAUUUUGUAUUCCCAUGUAUUUGAAAAAUUUAACAACUGAGGUACUAGAGAAUUGAACACCAUUGUCAGAUACGAUAACUCCCGGAAGACCAAAGCGGAAAAUUAUAUUACGCCAGUAAAACCGACGUACCCUUUUUGAUGUGAUGUGUGACAAGACUUCUGCCUCCACCCAUUUGGUGAAGUAAUCCAUAACCACUAUUAAGAAUUUUAACUUUCCCUGAUGCCACGGGAAAUGGACCAAAGAUAUCUUUCCCCCAUUGAUAAAAUGGCCAUGGGGAAAACAUUGAAUGCAACACUUAUGCGGGUGAAUGAAUAAAAGGAUCAAACAUAUGAAACUUUCCACAAAUGCUUACAAACUUCGCACAAUCCUGCAACAUGCCCGGCUAAUAGUAUCCUACUCGCAAUAUCUUUCCGGAAAAUUCCCUUCCUCCGAUGUGACUGCCACAUACUCCUUCGUGUACCUCCUUCAUGAUAAAAAUCACGUCUUUCUCUGAGAUGCACCUCAACAUAGAAGCCUUUCUACCCAUUUUAUAAAGUUGAUCGACCAUAAUGAGGUAUCUCGCGAUUAUUCAUCUAAUAUGCUUAGCUUCUCUUUCCUCUUCAGGUAGUUCAUUCUAAAUUAAAUAUCGAAUGAUAGGUGUCAUCCAUCCCUGAGAUUCAUUCAGUGUCAUGACGUCCUCCAUUUUGGUACUUGGUUUUUCCAGAGUUUCUUGAAUUACUAUUUUAUUUUAGCCACCGCUCUUGAUGCUUGCUAAUCGGGCUAAGAGGUCAGCUCUAGUAUUCUCCCCCUUAGGGAUAUGAUUUAUCUUGAACUCUUUGAAUGCUUGGGACAUCUUGGUAGCUUUCUGCAGAUAUUUGAUUAACAACAAAUCCUUUGUCUGAAAUUCUCCUUUAACUUUACUAGCAACCAACUGGGAGUCGGUCUAGAUGAGUAAAUGCAUCACUCAGACCUCAUUUUCCAACUUCAUCCCUGCAAUUAAGGCUUUGUAUUCUACCUGGUUGUUGCUAGUCUGAAAAUUAAAACACAAAGAGUAUUCAAGCAUUAAGUCUCCUGGUCCUCCGAACACUAUAUCGGCUCCGCUUCCUUUGAGAUUAGAGGACCCAUCCACAGAUAAAGUACAUUUGUCCGAUGAUUCUUCUAAAACCAGAGCACUUAAUUCAUUCAAGAAAUCAAUGAGUAUCUGAGAUUUGAUGCAACACUGAGGCGUAAACUUUAUAUCAUAUUCUGACAGAUUCACCGCCCAAGCAACCAUUCUUCCCGCCAAAUUUGGAUUUUUCAAAACUUGUUUAAUAGGAUAAUUAGUCCUGACGACGAUAGGAUGUCCUUGAAAAUAGUACCUCAAUUUCUGGGCUAUGAUCACCACCGCCAAAGCGAGACGUUCAAUCUCCUGGUAACGUAAUUCUUCCCCCUUCAACACCUAACUAAUGAAGUACACUGUUUUUUCCAUCUUAUCGGUUUCCUGAACCAAUACCAAAGUCAUAGCUUUGUAUGAUACAACUAAGUAUAUGAUAAAUGGUUCAUUCUCCCUGGGUCAUACCUAGAUCGGGGGUGCAGAUAAUAAACGCUUUACCUAUUUAAAAUCUUCUUCUCAUUCUUCUGUCCACUGGAAAUUCGUUGAUUUCCUCACUGCAGCGAAGAAAUGGAUUGGCUUGUUCCCUGCAUAAUAUGAAAAAUGAGAUAAGGUUGUCAUGUGCCCUGUUAAAUGUUGUACCCCUUUCACUGUCGAUGGACUCCUCAUGUUAAUGAUUGGUUGACACUUAUCCGGGUUCCCUUUUAUUCCUCAACCGGUUAACAUAAAUCCUAGGAGCUUCCUUGCUUGUACUCCAAACAUACAUUUGUACGGAUUCAGCCUCAUAUCAUAACCUCGAGUUGAUGGUGAAUGUUUCUUCUAGGUCUGUGACAUAUUAUCCAUGUACACCUCAAAGUUUUGUCCUAUUUGGGAGGCAAACACCAUGUCCAUCAGCCUCUGGUAGGUAGCCCCUACAUUUUUCAUCUCGAAAGGCAUCACCUCAUAGUAGUAACUGUUCAUAUUGGUCAUAAAUGCCAUUUUAUGGGCAUCUAACGAAUUCAUUCGAAUCUGGUUAUAUUCCGAAUAAGCAUCCAAAAAAUUAAGAAGUCUAAAACUGGAAGCCCCGUUAAUGAGUCGAUCAAUGUGACGGAGCAGGUAAGAAUCUUUUAGACACACCUUAUUCAAGCGGUGAAGUCUACACACAUUCACUAUUUUUAUGAUUUCUUCUUCAUCAUAACUAUAUUAGCUAACCAAGUCGGGUACCUGAUCUCUUUAAUAAAGUCGACCUUCAUAAGCUUUUCGACUUCGUCUUCCACAACCUUUCUCUUUUCUUCUCCUUACUUCCAUUUCCUCUAUGUUAUCGGUUUGACAAUGAGAUCCAACGUUAAAUGGUUACAAACCAUGUUGGGAUAAAUGUCGGGCAUAUCCGAUGGCUUUCACGCAAACAUAUCCAUGUUCUGCCUUAAAAUUCGGAUGAUCUCGUCUUCCUCCUCCUGGUAUAAGUUAGAGCUGACAUGAGUUGCUUGCGAAGGUUGAGCACCAACCUGUACUGUAUUUACAUCCUCCAUAGGCGUGAGACUAUCCUCUACCGGAUCUUCCCUCUAGUCGAUGUUAACUGAUUUCACUUUCACUUGAUCAUCUUUGACUAACUCAUUAGUGAGACUUUUCUUCUUUAGCUUCAGACUAUUUUUAUAACACUUUCUUUCUAUCUCUUGAUCCCCUUUUACUAUUCCUGUUUAGCCAUCUUUCAGAGGGUAUUUCAAUGUGAGGUACAAAGUAGACAACUCUGCCUCUAAAGUAAUAAAAGAAAGUCUGGCUAUAAUAAUAUUAUAGGGAGAGGCGACGUUGAUAAUUAAGUACUUUACAAUAAUGCUUUUUGAACUUUCUCCAUUACCAAAAGUAGUUAUCAUGGGUAAGUGUCCCAACACCUGUGUCGGUUCUCAUGAGAAUCCAACCAGUGAACCUGUAAAGAGAAACAACUCGAUAAUAUCAAAGUUCACUCCCUUGAGUUCUUCCUAGUAUAGAACAUCGGCUAAGCUUCCUGGGUCGACCAAAACGCAUUUUACGUCCCAGUUCUGAAUUUUUACUUUAAUCACCAUUGGUUCUUCAUCGUGAGGGAUCACUUCUUCGACAUCUUUUUUAGGAAAUGUGGUGGUAUCUUGAUGAUUCGUUCCUUCUGAAAGUGACCCCUGCCUGAUGUGCAUCACUGUUCGGGUAUAUUGUUUUCUUGCCGAACUUGUUUCUCCUCCUCUAGAAAACCCCCAUUCAAUAGUAUUUGAUGAAUGACGAGUCAUGUGCUUGUGCUUUAGUGUGGUGGAAGCCCCUACAAUUGUCAUCUGAUUAUUGAUGACAAUAAUAUGCUCUCGUGGGUCAGUUAAAGUGUUAUCGUUUUGAUAAUGAUUUUGUGUGGCCUGAGCAAGUUUUACUGAGGCCCCACGGUGGGCGCCAAAUGUUCUUGCUAAAAAAUAGUAAAAGGUUGACUUCCUUGUUUUAGAUCAAGGAGAUCCUAAAAUCAACGGUUGAAGUGUCUUUUAUGUCUGUUAGUCGCGUUUUUAGUCUGCCCUUUAUCCUUUGAAUACCCUCUUAUUAAUAGGUCUCCUCCCCUUGCCUGACUCUCCAGAUCCUUCAUCAAUUCUUCGGUUAAUAACGUCUUCCGCCCCUUAUAAUUAUCCUUUAAUGGUCGACUCCUCAAUAAUUUUAACUCCUCGCCAUAAUGUAUUAUAUUGGAACCGCUCUCUUAUGACUCUUCAGAUGGUAUCCUAGCUUUGUCAUCGAGAAAUAUUUAUACUAGUUGAACCAUCCUUGGCUUAUGAGAAGUCGGUUGCGCCCCACUUACUCGGAUAGCCUAACUGAAUUCCGAUUAGUAAAUGAUGUCCCGGCUAUCCGAUCUGUUAACCCUAUCAUACUCUACUAUCAUGUCAACUCGGUCAUAAAGAGCUUACAUGGUCAAGAUAUGCUUCACCGAUCUCACACCUCGGGUUGGUCAAAUGAUUUUUCAGAAUGUACAGGAAGAUUAUAUUUAACUAUGUAUUAUGGGGUGAAUCAGAAUAAAUUUUGUAUGCCCUUUUUCUUCUUUAUCUUAUCUUCAACGUCUAAUUCAAACAUACUUUUAUGUUUUUAACUUGAAAAAGUUAUUAUUUGAAUUACAGAAGAUCAUAAUGGCAUAUCUUGAUUAUAAGAAGUGGUUAGAUGCGAUAAAAUCAUAUCCAUGCACACAAACCAUAUAUUGAUAUGGGUUGUAUUAUCUAAUUGAGAAAUACCUACAAGAUGAAAAUGGGUUGGUCUUAUAUAAGACUAACAUGGAUGGUAUUUUGAAUAUAUUUAAGAUAUGAUUAAUUAUAGAGAGUUUUACACAAAAUCAUAAUGUAAAUUAUGAUUAAACUUUUGUUGCAGUCAUAAUGAUAUGCUUUGACUAUAAGUUCGAGCAGAUGGAGAAAGAUGUCACAUUCCUUAAUUGGAAUGACCUCAUGUAUAUGUGAAAUGCAUAUAGAUGGUUUCCUAAAUCCAAAGGAUGCUAUAAAAAUAUAUAAUUAUAUAAAUUUAUUUAUGGAUUAGAGGAACCUUCUAGAUGUUGUAUAUUUUUAUUAGUGAAUUUUAUGAAAAAUUGGAUUAAUGAAUAUCAAGUUUAAAUCAUAUGCACACAAGGAGAUUAGUGGGAGUAUUUGCAUUAUUCUAUUAUAGUAUAUAGGAGACAUACUAAUCAUCAAAACAAGUUUCCUUUAUUUAUAUUAUUUCAAAACCAAUUAACAAUAUAUUCAUAUCAUAGCCUAAAAUAAAUGUUAUGCUUAGAUGACAAUUAUGUAAGUUCUAAAAGGCUUCAGACAUUUGUCAUUUUUAAUAGAAAGGUCAAAAAUAUGAUUUGGAUCUCUCAUUAUUGAGAAGACUUUUGCAUUUAUUGUGUUGUAUAUCUCAUUGAUCUCAUUUAUAAUGAUAAUGGGUUAAUCUUGCAAGUAAGAAAAACUAAAUCUCACUAGCGAUCCAUGUAUGUAUAUUUUAAUAGUUCUAUUUGUUUUAAAUAUAAGAUCGAAAGUUAAAAUUGGAAGAGGUGUAUAGUACUAUAUAUGAAAUAAUUCCCUAUUCCCUAAUAUAGUAUCUUGCAUAUAUGAUUCUUGAUGCACACUUUGCAUAGAUAGAUGUUAAGUUAAUAUUUGAUUGACUCUAGAUCUAGUGAAAGAUUAUUGAAUUAAGCCGUAAUAGCCAACAAUAUUGGUUGUAUUUGCUUUUGUAUCAUAUUAUUAGGCGUUGUAUUUAUUGUGUUACUUGUAUAUGACAUAAUAAAAUCCUUAGAAUAAUUAGUUUUUUUAAUGGUACAUUGAGUAUUCCUUAAUCGUGAGACCUCAUUAAACAUUAGAACAUUAUUCUAUUAUUCUAAAAGUAUUCAUAAUCAGGUUGUAUUGUCAUAUAGCACAACAAUAAUGCAUAUAUAUUAUUAUGUGAGUAGACUAAUGAUUAUAUCUCAUGAGUCAUGUAUAUGAGAUAUCAAGUCUUCACAUAGGUAUCAAUAUUAUGAGUAAUAUUUAUACAUAAUUGACCCACAAUGAGAUUACUACAUAGUUUAUUAUGUAAGUGUCAUAAUUUAUUCUCAUAUAGAUAAAUGUGUAUGUCACCCAUCGACCUAAAACCACAAUGAAUCCUAGAUGUGGAGUUGAGUACUUUACUGUCUUUUAAACGUUGUUUGUAAGAGGUUGACCAUAAAGAUGGUUGAUGGGUACUGCACAAAUCAUGUUGAGGGACAUGGUGGCAUAGAGGAUACUUGUUCAUCCUACUUAUACAAUAGUAAUAUCUAUGGGUAAUUUGAUCAAGUAUGAUUAUAAAAUGCAUGAUCGUGCUCAAAUAAAUCAAUAUGAGAUAUUGAGCUUAUUUGUAUGAUCAAGUAUAUUCGAGGAUGAAGGAAUAUUAUAUUAAACUAUACAAGGGUGAUAUUUUAUGUCUUAUGUUCAAUAUAAAUAUAAGGGCAAACGGGUAAUUGUACACAUGAUCAUUAUCAUGAAAAAUGUUAUGUUAGAUCACAUGACAUUCUCAUUACUUUGGUAACAAUGAUGUGUUGCUAGAUAUCAGAUAUUGUUUAUUAUAUUAAAUAAAUGACAAUGAUAAUGAAUUUUGUGUACACAUGAUCAUUAUCAUAAAAAAAUUUAUGUUAGAUCAGAUGACAUUCUCAUUACUUUGGUAACAAUGAUGUGUUGCUAGAUAUCAGAUAUUGUUUAUUAUUUGAAUUACAGAAGAUCAUAAUGACAUAUCUUGAUUAUAAGAAGUGGUUAGAUGCGAUAAAAUCAUGUCCAUGAACACAAACCAUAUAUUGAUAUGGGUUGUAUUAUCUAAUUGAGAAAUACCUACGAGAUGAAAAUGGGUUGGUCUUAUAGAAGACUAACAUGGAUGGUAUUUUGAAUAUAUUUAAGAUAUGAUUAAUUAUAGAGAGUUUCACACAAAAUUAUAAUGUAAAUUAUGAUUAAACUUUUGCUGUAGUCAUAAUGAUAUGCUUUGACUAUAAGUUUGAGUAGAUGGAGAAAUAUGUCACAUUCCUUAAUUGGAAUGACCUCAUGUAUAUGUGAAAUUCAUAUAGAUGGUUUCGUAAACCCAAAGGAUGCUACAAAAAUAUAUAAUUAUAUAAAUUUAUUUAUGGAUUAGAGGAACCUUCUAGGAGUUGUAUCUUUUUAUUAGUGAAGUUUUAUGAAAAUUUGGAUUAAUGAAUAUUAAGUUUAAAUCUUAUACACACAAGGCGAUUAGUGGGAGUAUUUGCAUUAUUCUAUUAUAGUAUAUAGGUGACAUACUAAUCAUCAAAACAAGUUUCCUAUAUUUAUAUUAUUUCAAAAUCAAUUAACAAUAUAUUCAUAUCAUAGCCUAAAAUAAAUAUUAUGCUUAGAUGACAAUUAUGUAAGUUCUAAAAGGCUUCAGACAUUUGUCAUUUCUAAUAGAAAGGUCAAAAAUAUGAUUUGGAUCUCUCAUUAUUGAGAAGAAUUUUGCAUUUAUUGUGUUGUAUAUCUCAUUGAUCUCAUUUAUAAUGAUAAUGGGUUAAUCUUGCAAGUAAGAAACGAAUUAUUAAGUUAAAUAGAAUUUAAUUUAAUUAGAUAUUAAUUGUAUUAUUAAAUACAUCAACACAAAUAUAAUUUAUUUUAUUAAAUAUAAUAUAAUUAAAUAAAUAAUAAUUAACAAUUAACUAAAUUAGAUGUGAUUAAUUAAUUAAUAUUUUAUUAAAAGAAUUUCAUUAAAUAUAAAUAAUAUUGAGAUUACUUUAGAAAAAUCCAAAAUAAAAGCAUUGGGGUAAUAGUAGUUUUAUGUAUACAUUAAUGAGAUAUUUUCCUAUGAUCUGUAAUCUUUAUAUUUUCUCAAAAAACGAGUAGCACCGCGAUCCAUUUUAUACUCUCGUGGAUUUCGUAAUAACGAUAAUAUUUUCAUGUUCGUGAUCAAAGAUAAAGCACACUUCAAUAUUUGUUAUGAGAAUUUUAUUUUAUGUUUGAGUUGUUAUUAAUGGUUUGAUCAAUAUCCGUCUAACGAAAUUGUUAUUCCCAACAAAAAUUACAAGUGAAGGAGGAAAAUAAUACCGUUUUGUCUUUGUAGAUAAUUUUUUUAGAAUCACAUGAAUUUUAUCUUUAAAAAUUUUAAAUAUUAUUCUAGUAAGUAACGAUUAUGGAGGUGAAUUCACCAAUUCAUCCUAUAAAACAAUUUUUGAUGAAAUGAUAUUUAUGAUAAUAUAUUUUGUGAAAGAACUAAAAAAAGUUGAAUUUUUAAAAGGGAAAGAACCCGAAAAAAUUGACUUGUUGAAAGGGAAAAUAGAACAUCACAAGAAAUAGUUUUAAAAAAUUGCUCAAUGAAUAAAAUAAAAUGUUGAGAAAUAUUUUUGGGAAGAAGCCAUCAAAAUAUUUCUUCCUAUAUUUUAAAUUGAGUUUCAAUAAGAAAUAUUUUCAACAAACUCUCAUAUAUAUAUAUACUCGUUAUACUCAUUACCUUAAUACAAUAUCCUAGUAUAUAUAUAACUCAAUAUCUAUCCUAUUACCUAUACUAUAUUUAUCAGUUUACAUCUGCACUUCAUUAUUCACUUAUCUCCAUGUUACUUCCUAAGUCCCUAAGCAUAUAAACUAACACAACUUAUAUCCCAACUUUCACUAUACUUAAGUUCUAUCUCCAUAUCUCCUAUGACCAAAUACAAAAAAAAAAAAAAAC